This 549-nucleotide ribosomal RNA is filed under the name Anatella emergens. RNAcentral's name for it is "partial 12S ribosomal RNA". Lineage: Eukaryota; Metazoa; Arthropoda; Insecta; Diptera; Mycetophilidae. The record is from RNAcentral.
AUUAGAUGCAAAUAAAAUUUAUUAUUUAUAGUUAAAAUGAGUAUAAUUUAAUUUAUAAUUAAAUUUAUUAGGUUAAAUUUUAAAUUUAAAAAAUUAUUAAUAAAUAAAUUUUUUGAAGCUUUGAAAUUUUAUUAUUAAACUAGGAUUAGAUACCCUAUUAUAAAAAAUGUAAUUAAAGAAAAAUAGAGUAGUAAUAGUUAUAUUCUUAAAACUUAAUAAAUUUGGCGGUAUUUUAAUCUAAUCAGAGGAACUUGUUUUAUAAUUGAUAAUCCUCAUUAAAUCUUACUUAAUUUAUUAGUUUGUAUACCAUCGUCAUAAGAAUCUCUUUAAAAAGUAAAAAUUUUCAGGAUAAUAAAUUAAUUAAUAUGUCAGAUCAAGGUGCAGCUUAUGAUUAAGAAAAAAUGAGUUACAAUAAAUUUAUUUAUACGAAAUAUAAAUUUAAAUAUUUAUAUGAAGGUGGAUUUGAUAGUAAAAUAAAUAAUUAAAUUUAUUUGAUUUUAGUUCUAAAAUAUGCACAUAUCGCCCGUCGCUCUCGUUAAUUAAAAUGAG